Molecule: ribosomal RNA, 497 nt
Filed under: uncultured bacterium
Lineage: Bacteria
Description: partial 16S ribosomal RNA
Rfam family: Bacterial small subunit ribosomal RNA
Source: RNAcentral
GAUGAACGCUGGCGGCGUGCCUAAUACAUGCAAGUCGAGCGAACAGACGAGGCGCUUGCUCCUCUCACGUUAGCCGCGCACGUGAGAAUAACACGUGUAUAACCUACCUAUAAUUCUGGGAUAACUUCGGGAAACCGGAGCUUAUACCGUAUAAUAUAUUGAAGCGCAUUGUUCAAUAGUGAAAGUCGGUGUUGCUGUGUCGUCUAGCUGGAUCCGCGCCUCAUUAGCUAGUUGUUAAGGUAACGGCUUACGAAGGCAACGAGGCGUAGCCGAACUGAGAGGGUGAUCGGCCACACUGGAACGGAGACACGGUCCAGACUCCUACGGGAGGCAGCAGUAGGGAAUGGUCCGCAAUGGGCGAAAGCCUGACGGAGCAACGCCGCGUGAGUGAUGAAGGUCUUCGGAUCGUAAAACUCUGUUAUUAGGGAAGAACAAAUGUGUAAGUAACUAUGCACGUCUUGACGGUACCUAAUCAGAAAGCCACGGCUAACUACGUG